CCAGUUAGCUAGCAAGGGAUUAAGGGAAUUUAGUUAAUGAUGACACAUUUAUUUAUCAAAGAAAACGACUGUUGGCACAUCUGCUGUUUGGCUCAGAACUACCCUCCUUCUUUGGUUACAAGCAGAGACAACAGCGUGGAUUUUUUAUCGGAUCAGCCAGAGGUUUCCAGCAGGGUUGGCCCCAUAGCUUAGGUUUGCUUUGCUAACGUCAAGCAUCCAGCUACCAUUAUCAGGCAUCCGUAGUGAGUGAUAAGACAUUGGCAGUAACCGUACCAUCAAAUCAACACCAACUGCUUUGCAUCACGGUGGAUUUGUGGUCAUUGGGUAACGUGCAAAAAUGGAAGAAGAUUUAAUGCAGCAGGAGGAGUUCAACGACAGCGGCGAUUCAUCAUCGUCGCCCCUCAACUCCCCGCUCCGCUCAACUCGACUGCCCCUCCAGAGAAGUAAUGUCUGCUCUCGGGCUUACUUUGUUGUGGUUAUGGUCUUCUUCCAUGUCUACAUCCUGAAUGUUAUCGCCCUGCUGCUUUACGUGCACUAUAAUAAUGGCCCCGGGGAUCUAGUCAGUGGUGACCGAGCCUCCUCUGUAUCUGUCAGCGAGGGAGAAAGCCCUUUGACCCAUUCUGCCCCACCUUCAGGAGAGACCCAAGAGGAGGACUACAGUCAAAGUUUCAGUCUCCCUCGCAUUGAGGGUAUUAGGGUGGGACAUAUUCAGCACCUGUCUCUUGUGUCAGACAGGACACACGAAAUGAAGACGCUCAGCCUGAAACCUCUGCUUUUUGAGAUCCCUGGCUUCCUGUCAGAGGAGGAGUGCCGUGUGGUGGUGCAGCUGGCUCAGCUGAAGGGUCUGAUGGGGAGCCAGACGACAGGACCCAGCCAGGGACAAGAGGAGUCAAACCAGCCACUGCUUUCUCUCAGCACAGAGGAGGUCUUCAGUCUGUUGGACCUAAACCAGGACGGUCUGCUGCAGAAGCAUGAGAUUGUGAGUCACUCGCGCUCUCGAGAUGGGACUUGGUUGAGCCCAGACAACUUACGGCAGAUACUCACUGGCCUGGAAGCCUGCCCAACAGGGAUGCUGAACUUGGAGGAGUUUAGGCGUGUUUAUGAUGUGUCUCAGCGCUCAGGACAAGAGCGAAGUGGGAAGCUCCAGACUCAGUUCAAACAGAGAAAUAAACAUACGUGGCUUUAUCAAGGCUUGGGAUCCCACCACGUGCUGCACACACUCAGGAACAGAGUUACCAGUCUGACACGUCUGCCUUCUACAUUGGUUGAGUUGAGUGAGCCACUGCAGGUGAUACGCUAUGAGCACGGAGACUUCACUGAUGCCCACCAUGACAGCAGCCCUCCCCAUUCAGAGAUGACCUGCACACACACACGACUGGCGGGGAACACAUCUUCUCUUACAGAGGUCUCAUGCAGGUAUCUUACUGUGUUAUUCUACCUCAGCUCUGCAGAGGAAGGUGGUGAGACAACCUUUCCUGUGGCAGACAAUCGAACCUACAAUGAGCAGGCUCUGGUUCAGGAUGGAGUUGAUUUGACAGACACCCAGGAGACAUGUGGUCGAGGAAAUCUGAGAUUGAAACCUAAUGCUGGGACAGCUCUACUCUGGUACAAUCAUCUUUCUGAUGGUAGAGGUUGGAUGGGUGAGCUUGAUGAGUAUUCCCUGCAUGGAGAUUGCCCAGUCAAGCACGGGGUGAAGUGGGUGGCCAACAGCUGGGUAAAUGUAGACCCAGACUACCAGCAGCAGGCCCGCUACCAGAGACUAGUUGCCCAAAAACAUCAAGCUAAGUCGGGCAUGGAGGAGUAUUACCAACCUCUCUCACACAGUGACCUCCACCAGGAUCUAUAGCCAGACCCUUUUAUUGAUGAGAUAAAACGACCAUCAUUUUUAAACUGAGUCAGCCAGUGAGGCCGGGCCGACCUUUUUUUCACAAUGUCAGAGCUGAAGUCGAAAUGAAAAAUUUGCACAAAAUAGGGUCCUAGAUAUCCUCUUCAGUAAAUCUGUCUUGCAUUAUGUCUCUCAUGUCCCCAUCUGACCUGUUCGCAUUUACUCAGUACAUACAUCAAUCUCAUUAGGAAGGUUAUAGAGUUAAAUAGUCAUAUAAAGUUGUGGUGGGUAGAUGCACUGGUUUCUUCUCAAUUUGUAAUCAUAAAUAACAAAUUAAAUAGAGUGAAUGCCAUUUUCUUUGAACUCCCGCCUUAAACAAGAUAUCACUUAAUCAGGAUAACAAGAGAUACAUGAAUUCCAUGAUAUGAGUUGGAUGUAGUCACGUCUAAAGCGAUAAGCCUGCCUAUCUGCCUUCCGUGUAGUUUUACAAGGCAUCUGCCCCUUUUACAGGUCAGUGUUAUUUAUUAUAAUAGAAUUUAAGCCUUGUGUUAUGAGCCAUAUCACAAUACUCCUCCGUGAAUGUGUUCCAAAGGGGCAUUUUUAUAAGAUCAUGUAUGUCGGUUCUGUUCUUAAGUUUGUUUCUAGAGUUAAUGAGCUUUUAUGAAAUGUUAUAUUUAAUAAGGGUUUAAGACGCCUACUGCAAAUGCAGUAUUGUGUCAUUUCAAACUUGGGUCUUUGAUAUUGCAAUGUUUUCCCUUUUUUCCAACCCAAAAAUAUUUAAUUGUCAGAGUAUUUAUUUGAGUGUGAUUUAUUGUCACCUCUUGGUGAUUUAAGUUAAUGGAAUGCAUAUUUAUUACAG
Scomber japonicus (chub mackerel) is the source of this 2684-nucleotide RNA transcript. It is a transcript of the gene named transmembrane prolyl 4-hydroxylase-like, with no coding region annotated. The transcript has 10 exons. Lineage: Eukaryota; Metazoa; Chordata; Actinopteri; Scombriformes; Scombridae. The record is from RefSeq and is a predicted model, not a curated record.